GCCUGGUUUCCCUGGGAUGAGCAGGGACCAGAUCCAGCUGGGGGCUCCUGGAAAGCCCACCUGGGACACGGGAGGUGCAAGGAGGAGAGCUGAGACCUCUGAGGGUGACUGCCCUGAGAGCAGUGUGGCUGAUCUCUGAGAGCAUCUGGAGUAGCACUCAGCUUUUCCAAAGCCUUUUUCCCCUGCUUUGCAUCACUCAGCGCACAGGAGUGGGACUCUUUGGCCUGAAUUUCCUGCUGCUGGGGUUGUUCCCCAGAAAAGUGGAGUCGUCUCUUCCUGCCUGUGCAUCCCUGAGGUGAACAGCAAUUAAAACUUGCUUGGGCACAUGGUGUGUGCUCAGCUGGAGCACAAUUGCUGUGAUUUCCCUGGAAACCAGAGGGAAACCCUGGGUGCUGCACUGUGAGCCUUUGAAAGAUCUCUGUUUUGGCCUUGGGAGCUGGUCACUGAGCCCAUAGGGUCUGUGUGGCUCAGGGGCAGCUGCUGGAUCAGUCAGUGCAGUGAGGUUGUUCAAGAGUUGGUUCCUUGCCAUGGGAGCUUUUCCCUUCCCCUGAGUGAUUGUGGCAGGUUCAGCUCCGUGCCCUUCAUCUGCCUCACGUGAGACUUUAAUUCUCCUCUUGCAGCCUUAAUGAGUGCCCUGGGCAGCCAAGUUGGAUGUUUUUCCACUGUCCCAAUCAAUGUUUAGUGGCUCUCACCAAAAUGACCCAGGCAGGCUCACCUUGAAGUGUCAGUGCUGUGUUGGGCCAUUUCCAGCUCCUCUCUAUAAAACUGGAACUUCCUCUUAAAGAUUUGAUUAAAUUCUCACUGAAUUCAGUAGCAAAACUGAUAAUAA
Long non-coding RNA from Zonotrichia leucophrys gambelii, 829 nucleotides. RefSeq lists it as uncharacterized. Lineage: Eukaryota; Metazoa; Chordata; Aves; Passeriformes; Passerellidae. The record is from RefSeq and is a predicted model, not a curated record. The transcript has 3 exons.